UCAGAUCCUGCCGGUGUGGGCUUUGCAGGAAGCUGUGGUUCACCCACAGCCUUGCGGGAGGACACCACGCACUCUCUCCCAGACCCCCGGGGCUCUGAGCAGCCUUGUGGGAGGGCCUGAGGGCUGACUGUACCCCCUCUGCCCUCAGAGCCUCUGAGCAGCGUCUCCUCCCUGGAGGUCCACUUCGACCUCCUGGACCUCACUGAGCUCACCGACAUGUCGGACCAGGAGCUGGCCGAGGUCUUUGCUGACUCGGACGACGAGAACCUCAACACCGAGUCCCCAGCAGGUCUGCACCCGCUGCCCCGGGCCGGCUGCCUGCGCUCCCCUUCCUGGACGAGGACAAGGGCUGAGCAGAGCCGCGAGAAGCAGCCCCCAGGCGACCCCGAGCGGCAGGCCGCAGUCCUGGACACGUUUCUCACUGUGGAGAGGCCCCAGGAGGACUAGACCAUCUCCAUCUGCCCCAGCUCCUGCAGGGAUGGGGUCCGAACACGAUGGCAGAUCUGGGCAGUCCUGACCCAGCAGACACACUUCACCCGCCCACGAGGCUCCAGCCGUCACCU
This 563-nucleotide small RNA is filed under the name Pan troglodytes (chimpanzee). RNAcentral's name for it is "retained intron". The record is from RNAcentral. Lineage: Eukaryota; Metazoa; Chordata; Mammalia; Primates; Hominidae.